Long non-coding RNA from Oncorhynchus tshawytscha (Chinook salmon), 704 nucleotides. NCBI's taxonomy places the organism in Eukaryota, Metazoa, Chordata, Actinopteri, Salmoniformes, Salmonidae. The record is from Ensembl.
UCUCCUUCACCAGGUUCUCCUUCUCAUCCCUGACACCCCUGUGCUCUCCUUCACCAGGUUCUCCUUCACCAGGUUCUCCUUCUCUCCCUGACACCCCUGUGCUCUCCUUCACCAGGUUCUCCUUCACCAGGGUUCUCCUUCACCAGGUUCUCCUUCACCAGGUUCUCCUUCUCAUCCCUGACACCCCUGUGCUCUCCUUCACCAGGUUCUCCUUCACCAGGCUCUCCCUCAUCCCUGACAGCCCUGUGCUCUCCUUCACCAGGUUCUCCUUCUCAUCCCUGACACCCCUGUGCUCUCCUUCACCAGGCUCUCCUUCACCAGGUUCUCCUUCCCAUCCUUCUCUGUUUCAGAAGUGUGUAAAGCCCUGAAAUAAAUUGAUAGAACAGAAUCCCCUGUCCCUGAUGAACUAGACCCCUGCUUCCUACACCUGCUGCUGACAUCAUUGCUCCACCCUAUAUUUCUAACCUCACGCUUGAUGUUCAGGAAAUCCCCAAGUUAUGGAAAUCUGCUUUUGUACUGCCUCUCCUGAAAGGUGGAGAUCCUUCGCUACUUGACAACUAUCGUCCCAAAUCAAAACCGUCUGUUCUGUCAAAGGUCCUGGAGUCCUUAGUUAGUAGGUCCUGGAGUCCUUAGUUAGUAGGUCCUGGAGUCCUUAGUUAGUAGGUCCUGGAGUCCUUAGUUAGUAGGUCCUGGAGUCCUUAGUU